Molecule: ribosomal RNA, 468 nt
Filed under: uncultured bacterium
Lineage: Bacteria
Description: partial 16S ribosomal RNA
Rfam family: Bacterial small subunit ribosomal RNA
Source: RNAcentral
GACGAACGCUGGCGGCGUGCUUAACACAUGCAAGUCGAACGGAAAGGCCCUGCUUUUGUGGGGUGCUCGAGUGGCGAACGGGUGAGUAACACGUGAGUAACCUGCCCUUGACUUUGGGAUAACUUCAGGAAACUGGGGCUAAUACCGGAUAGGAGCUCCUGCUGCAUGGUGGGGGUUGGAAAGUUUCGGCGGUUGGGGAUGGACUCGCGGCUUAUCAGCUUGUUGGUGGGGUAGUGGCUUACCAAGGCUUUGACGGGUAGCCGGCCUGAGAGGGUGACCGGGCACAUGGGGCCUGAGAUACGGCCCAGACGGCUACAGGAGGCAGCAGUGGCGAGUAUUACACAAUGGGCGGGAGCCUGAUGCAGCGACGCCGCGGGCGUGAUGACGGCCUGCGGGGUAUAAAACGCAUUCGCCUGUGACGAAGCGGGAGUGACGGUAAUGAGUAAAGAAGCACCGGCUAACUACGUG